UACGGAGGAUCCAAGCGUUAUCCGGAUUUAUUGGGUUUAAAGGGUGCGUAGGUGGUUUAUUAAGUCAGGGGUGAAGGACGGCAGCUUAACUGUCGCAGUGCCUUUGAUACUGAUGAACUUGAAUAAACUAGAGGUAGGCGGAAUGUGACAAGUAGCGGUGAAAUGCAUAGAUAUGUCACAGAACACCAAUUGCGAAGGCAGCUUACUAUGGUUUGAUUGACACUGAGGCACGAAAGCGUGGGGAUCAAACAGG
This 253-nucleotide ribosomal RNA is filed under the name uncultured bacterium. RNAcentral describes it as "partial 16S ribosomal RNA". It matches the Rfam family "Bacterial small subunit ribosomal RNA", at positions 524 to 776 of the family's 1533-position model. The record is from RNAcentral.